GGACUACUGGGGUAUCUAAUCCUGUUUGCUCCCCACGCUUUCGCGUCUCAGCGUCAGCAAUGAUCCAGCGAGUCGCCUUCGCCACUGGUGUUCCUGCGAAUAUCUACGAAUUUCACCUCUACACUCGCAAUUCCACUCGCCUCUAUCAUGCUCCAGGUGACCAGUAUCGAAGGCAGUUCCAGAGUUGAGCUCUGGGAUUUCACCCCCGACUUAAUCACCCGCCUACACGCGCUUUACGCCCAGUAAUUCCGAACAACGCUAGCUCCCUUCGUAUUACCGCGGCUGCUGGCAC
This 292-nucleotide ribosomal RNA is filed under the name uncultured bacterium. RNAcentral's name for it is "partial 16S ribosomal RNA". The record is from RNAcentral.